AGGUGCGAUGACUAACAAAUCGAGCAGCUUAUGUGUUAUAAUAUUUAACCACUGAUUCGUACAAUACAGUUAUACAGAAGUAAAAAUGCUUGGUUACAAUGAUAGUUGGACAAUGGUAGCAUAUUAAACGCAGACAAAACGCCUACAGACAAAAUCCAGGGCAUGAGUUAGAGCCACCAAAGUUCUCUGCUUAAAUCUAUACCCCACUUAGCGACAAUACUUUAGCGUCUUUAAUGGCUUCCUUUUGACAAAAUCUGCCUCCUUUGUGAAACAUGUUCAGAAGAAAGAGACUACGUUGUACUUCAUCUGCACAUCUGGGCUCUGACCGGCUGACUCAUGUGACUCGAAGAGCCAACCUGAGACAUUUUCUCAGGUCAGAGCUGCGUCAUAAUAGGCUGAGAACUGAAUGCAGACAAUAAAGAACACCAAAGCAGGUGUCCUGUCUUGGACCCCCGCACCGGCACGUAUCUCACCCACCAGCUCUUUAAUGUCUGAGGAUGCAUGGGAGGACGAGGAUGGCAAAGAUGAAGAACAAGACCAUGACUUUUUUAGCCAGAUGGAUAGCAAUGGCAUCAUUAGACUGACACUGAUGGAUGAGAUGCAGAAGGACGAUGGUCAUCCAGCCACCUCUCCUGGUUCCCCCAGCCCAGAGGAAGAUAUUGGAUGUGAGGUAGAAAUACCACCUGAGGAGCUGAGUUACAUCUUAAACGAACAUCUGGAUGAUGGAGACCUACUGUCAAGCUACGGUGAUGACCUUUGUAUCUUAAAAGAACAAAAUGACGAUGAAGACGAGGAGGACAUGACAAACGAAGGGCACGGGACGGAGCACCUAUCUGAGACGGGCAGCUACAUGGACAUGGCUCAAGGGCAGAUAAAUGGGGCAGGAGAGGGGGAGAAAAGUUUCCAAAGGCUGCCAGUGGACAAUAACAAAGACGAGUCAGAGCGCCAGUGUUUUUCUCUGCCAUUUUUAUUCGUAGAAGCUAAUGGAGACUGCAAACCGCCAUGUCCAACAUACCAGGCCUUCUCGUGUCCAAUUACCUCCCAUCUGUGCCCUUUUACCAAGGAGGAAGUGGCUUCUGGUGUAGGCAUUGUACAUGGAAACAUUCCAAAUAUCGGCUUUACAGAUCGUUCUCCAGCCAUGAGCUGCGGGUCCAGUCCCCGCUAUCAACAAAGCUCUGAAAAAAGGGACCAAGAAGAUCUGGAAGAAGCAGCGGACUCUUCAGAAGCGCUACUGACAAAUCAGCACAGCAGUGUCAGUAAUGAGGAUUCAAAUGAGGCUCUUAAAGAGCCCAUUUCCCCACUGGGUCAAACGUCACCUCAAGCUUCUCUUGACCCAUCAAUGGAGGGCCGCCACUAUUCUCCGAAAAGAGCUCAUGAAUCAAGGAAAGGCAGCCAGAGUCACUGGGUGCCAGAUUUGUCCAAGGUAAAGCCUAGGGUCUCUUUUCCCAAAGGGGAUGAUUACAAGCCACCCAAGAGCAGAUGGUCGUCCAAGAAUCCUCCUAAGUCCUUGACGCCUGUUGUUUUUAAAUCUCCUGCUGACAUUGUGAAAGAAGUCCUGCUGAACACGACCGCCGAAUCUCAGACUCCGUCGGACUAUAAUAAAAGAACAUCGACCGGUGUUCCCAGCGCCACGGUGCCUCAGGAGUUCCGAUGCCAACACAAGGCCCAUAUCCUGGCCGAGCAGCUGCAGGAGGACUACAACAGACUGCUGACUAAAUAUGCAGAGGCAGCGAACACCAUUGAUCGUCUACGUCUGGAAGCCAGGGUUAAACUGCACUCGGAGCAACCCCGGCCUGCUCACGUUGAGCCAUCAGGAUUGCAUAUGGAGCCUUCAAAAAUCAUGAAACUGGACUUUCCUCAAGCUCAGAGAGCCCAGCCCAGCGCAGUUUCCCCUCCGCCCAACGGAGCCGGUAUACAAAGAGCUUCCUGUGGCCCCCCGUCAUUAUCGUCCUCCAUCUCCAAAAGCUCAGAUUGCCAAGGGCGUCCACAGCUGGCCAAUGUACUCUACACAAAGGCAGACAAGCUCCUCCAGCAGCUGCAAGGUUUUGAGGAGCUGCUGAAGAGCACAAAACCUCUUCAACAGAUGAAGGCUCUCUCAAAGCUCUAUGAAGGACUGGACUCUUUAGAAAAGGGCUACCUUUUAGCUAAAAAAGAACAGGAAGAUGCAGACAACGGCCACUUUGACCCCAAUCGAGAGCUGGAGGAGUUUAUCUAUCAGUGUGGACUGCAUAUGGAUGAGCUGAAGGAGAAAGUGGAACAGAGGGUUCGUGAUGGUAAUCCUCUUUCUCACAGCACAAAAUCAUCAUCAUCUCUGGAUGAUUCACACUCAGAGAAGUGUCAUAUGCUUGAUUCAUCAGAGAUGAUGGACAGCAGUGGUGAUGAGACUAAAGGAAUUGAUUCUAGCCUGAAUUCUGCUCGCCUCAAGAGAUGCCAAGAACAAGCAGAAAACAUUCAUCCGACCCAUGCUGCUAACAGCAGGAGAAUGAAGGAAGUUAGAAAGUCCUGCAGCAGCAGUCUAAGCAGUCUAGGAGACGUCACUGAGAAGAUGAUCUCCAAACCACAAACUGUGAUCAGGAGAGCCCUCUCUCAGGAUGGGAUCACCUCGCCAGGGACGGAUAGCGGGUUUAUUGGGUCAGAGACGAGUCAUCAGAAUGCGAGCGCGACUCCCGGCUCUCUCCACCGGAGGGUAUCAAAGAGUGUUUCGGACCGUCAGGAGGUGAGGUCAGUGAAGCCUCAGAGAAGCCGAAUGUCAGCACCACCUCAGGGUCCCUCACAUUCACACAGCCCCACACCAAUGGAACCCAGAAAAUAUCGCCAACCAGAGCUGAGAAGAUCCUGCAAGGAUGAGAGCAAACAAGUCCAGCGGGUCAGUCAGACAGACGCUACCAGGGCAGACAGUGAAAGCACCCAGACUUUGUCUGAGGAUGUACAACGUGUCCAGUAUGAAGACUCCCUCCCUUGUUCCUCUCCAAGCCCCUCCACCGCCAGUCUGCACCAUUACUAUGGCGACGCUCUUCAAACAGUGAGGGCCAGCCAGGCGGUGACUUGCAAUGAGCCAAGUCGACCCCGACAGACCAUUUCAGCCAGACCGAAGGAGAGGCGAGAAAGUUCCCGGAGAAACCACAAGGAGUCCAAAGCAGAUCAUUUAGCUCAGCGCAACUGUACUUACCACCGAACUUCAACGCCUCUCAGAUCUGGGGAGCCGUCCAUCGAUAUUGGUGGAAGCAGCCGAAAGAGAUGGAGUAUUUUUCAGGAUGAGACGGAUAAGGUGGUGAGACGCCCAUCUAGGAAAAGACCGCCGCACAAACAACAACCACGACCUGACUCAUCAACUGCAUCAGAGACUGAACCCACUGCUUGUCAACUUCUGGUGUCAAGAUCCACUCAGACGUCCAUUGCUGUCCCUGACACCCAACCCUCCCACACGAGUGCUGCACACGUCCAUCAUAUAAAAUCCGGACUGUGUGCUGCAGAGCAGGAUCAUGCUGAACUGGAGAAAGAAGAUAGCGAGACAGGUGGAGCUCCUCCUUGUUAUCAGUGUUUGUCACAUCACAGCGGCUCCACUGAAAAAUCGGCUGGCGGCAACCGAGAGGCGGCCCACUUCUGCUGCUGCCAUUGUCAUCAUGGUCCUCACUGCCGACGUCAUGAUCCCAAGACGAGAACGGAUCCAGACUGUUGCAGGGACUCAAACCCCGCUAGAACCUCCAGCUGCAAACCCGUGUCCCCCGGCAGGGCAGCAGCAGCUCCCGUGUGCCCCACGCCACUGCUUCUGUACCUCCAACCACAAGCCGUCCACGUGUGCGGCAACAACCCGGGCUCACCAUCCAAGAUCAGCGGUACCAAGGAGGACAGAGAGAGGUUGCGACCAUCGCAACACAUCAUCCCGCGGCGAUCCCUGGAUGAAGCCCUCCUCGAGGCGCGAAGGAUACACGACAGGUCCAAUCGCAUGGUGCGUAAACUGGAUGCAGGUCUGCGCACUCUGGAGCAACUGUCCAAACCCCGCUCCAACUCCAACUAAUGACCUCAGUGCCUGCAAACAUGGAAGCUGCCCUGUGAGGCGUUGGCAAGGAUUUGCUGCUGCUUUUUUUAUUUUUGAGACAACUUUUGAUAGCCAAAUCUGAUUUUAGCGGGCGUAACCAGUAUGAGCUGGCAUGCCAGUCAGGUAGCCAUCAAUACAGUACAGUAAUCCCUCAUUAAUCCCGAUCAACUGGUUCCAGACCAAUCGUGAUAAGGGAAGUUCUGCCAAAUAGGAUUCCUUAUUAUUUUCUAAACCUUCUAAAGAUGCUUUUUUUUUUUACACAUGAAAUAACACAACAAAAUUAGACAUAAAUAAGACUCAUGUUCGUGUGUGAGGCUGUAAAUUUGGUCCAGUAGUAGUGGAGCUACUAAUUGGCAGAGGGACAGGAAGUGAGGUCAGGGGUUCAAAGUUGAGUUUUGUCAUAGCGUGGGUUAUGACCGUUAUUGUGUAUUUUGUGAGAUUAUUCAAACCUGCAAUAAAAGCCUGUUGUUCCGGCGAUAAAGUCUGGUGCUUGUGUGUCUCACCGAACAUUACAGUAACAUUAUUGACACCCAGUGACCAGCGUAGAAUAAUACAUUCAGUUUAGAAUAGAAUAGAAUAGAAUAGAAUAGGACAUAUGUAUAUUUAUAACGUCUUUCAGUGCGUCUUCUGAAUGCCUUAUAUUUGUACUUUAGUUCAUUUUAUGCUUGAAAAUGCUUAAUUUGGGCAAAAUGGUGAGGGAUUACUGUACCGUACUGUAUUUCUUUUCUCUGCUUGAUACGUAUUUUUUAAGAUAACCUCGAUAGAAAAGUGGUGCGAUGGCACCAUGUCCGGGAAAAAAAUACUGCGGCUAUAAAUCCAGCAUAAGUCAAUUCAAUCAACAUUUUCCAGCAGGAAGAUUGUUUGACGAGACUAUAUAUUUUGUAAGUACAAUACUGUAUACUCAUGUGUUAAUAACUGUGAGAGGCACACAUUUUAGGGCUUAAAAGUAUCAACGUGGGCAUUAAUUAUUGACGGCUGUGUCCAUUAUGUGUGUCUUUUGCAUGAACAGACAUGUUGAUCAUGUCCGUUUGUGUUUACUCUGCAGCAUCUCAGCAGUGAUCAGCUUUUUUUAAACAACUGCCAAGACAAUGAUGAUGUCAUGCAGGGGGUGUACAAAGUGUGUUUUUUUUCAGUAUAUCCAUCCAUCCAUUUUAAAUGCUGCUUAUCUCAUGAGAGUCGUGGGGGGAAACUGGAGCCUAUCCCAGCUGUCUUCGGGCGAGAGGCGGGGUACACCCUGGACUGGUGGCCAGCCAAUCACAGGGCACAUACAGACAAACAACCAUUCACACUCACAUUCAUACCUAUGGACAAUUUGGAGUCGCCAAUUAACCUAGCAUGUUUUGGGGAUGUGGGAGGAAACCGGAGUAUGCACCCACGGGGGAGAACAUGCAAACUCCACACAGCCUUUUCACUAUAUUGCAAAAAAUAAAAUACAUUUUGAUGUAGAAAUUUUACUAAUGUGCUUUUCCAAGGACUUUUUUUUGUCUUUGCUUGGUUGUGUUCCUCCAUAUGGCAGAUUUUUUUUUUCUCAAAUGUUCAUGAAAAAUACAAAAAUUAAAAUGUAAAAUUUGUUCCUAGGUCAAAAUCCCACCUUUUUGGGUCCCUAGAGGACAAAAAAGUCUACUGCCAAAAACUGGUAUAAAAACACAACAGAUUAAUAUAUUUCUUUGUACUUUUUUGCUUAAAUAGCUUAAUCAAUUCGAGUCCUAACAAAAAAAUAAAUAAAUAAAUAAAUAUUUGUAUAUUUGAUGUAAUGAUGCCACUGUUUGUUCCUGGAAAACACAUUUUCCGUAUAAUAAAUAUUAGGGAGCUGUGGCUCUACAAAGAGAGAAAAACCUAUUUUGCUUAUAAAGCCCCAAAACUGUACAACAACGUACCAUUUACAUACUGUAACGUGACCAACAUAUCAACCAUAAUAACCUGCUGUUAUUGUAGGAGCUAACACCAAAGAGCUACUUUUCAGGCUUAGUGGUAGCAUUAGCUACUGAAGCUGCUGCUAGCUAUUAAUGCUAGCUUAGAAAUCAUGCCUUGCACGUGUAUAGUGUCAGGUUGAUGCUACAAAUGAAACACUGAAGCUAGUAGCUCUCACCUUAGACACCACCAUGUUGCUAGCAAGACUCGGCUAGCUCCUUGUUUGACAUUUUUACCACCUCAACGGGGAGUGUUGUGUUGAAAGAUACAGACAGAGCAGCUAUUGCUAGCAGACUACGGAAUAAGAAUUCUUGGAAUUCUUUGACGACAAUACUACUGAUCCUGGACCCUUUUACCUGUUCAACACGGCACAGCUUGUCCACUGUCCCCUGGUAAUGUUUCAUGCAGUCCUCAGCAAGCUGCAGGUGAGUGGAGUACUGGAAAAAAAACACACACAGUUGCCACAUGACAUACUAAACUCAUGCAAAGAAACAUACACACACACACAUUCAUCUGAACAUACACACCUUGCUGAGCUCCUUCUGAUACUGUGGCAUCUUCUUCAGCAUCUGGGACAGAUCCCUCAUUGUGGUCUGUUGAAACAAAUGUGGAAUUAGUAUGAACUUAAUGGGCUAUAAUUUUGUGGUGCACCCCAUGCACUGGUCAUUUCGUCCAGCACACCACUGUGCGCAGCCAAUUUGGUAAUUCGGUAGAGAUGGGCGUAGCAGCGCACCAGGACUAAUAUUUUCAGCUUGGUGCAGUGGCAAAAACCAAAGGUGCCAGUGAAAGAUCGCCAUCGCAGACAUUAUCUGUUCUCGGUGCAGGCCAAGCGCACCCUGCGCAGUGGUAAAUUGGCUGACAGGCGCACAGUGCACAAAACCUCACAAGCAGGGUUUUCAGAGUGUCAGGCACAUUUCAAUGCAAUAAACAAUCACAGCAACCACAAUGUAAUGUAACCGUCUGAACCAGCAUGUACAUUUUUUGUAUUAAUUGUCCCAUCA
Doryrhamphus excisus (bluestripe pipefish) is the source of this 6951-nucleotide non-coding RNA. NCBI's taxonomy places the organism in Eukaryota, Metazoa, Chordata, Actinopteri, Syngnathiformes, Syngnathidae. The record is from RefSeq and is a predicted model, not a curated record.